CUCCCCAAAUUAUCUUCAAAUCCUGUCCUCUCCUGGGCGUUCAGAGGUCGCCUAUGCCGCCUACCACCACUCCAACCACUGUUGACCACCGGCCGGAAAUUGCCUCUAUCGGCGAAGUCAACCAAACAACCUCAAACCAUUAUUUUUCUUCUCCUCUCCUCCCCCUCUACACUCUUCUGCCCCAAAUGUCACUCCAUCAUUACCAAAUUCGAAACCCUAUCCUGUUCGUUCCCUUCUUGAUUUCAUCGACCAUCAUCGAUCAACAAGUCUUAAUAGUUACAUCAUUAGAUAGGUCUUAGAGAGAUCAAUCUAGUAAUUUAAGUAUCUAUUCAUUCAAUGAAUGUCGGUGCCGAUCAACUCAUCAUUGAUCGACCGGAGUUCAUGCAAAAGCCCAUCCAUGCCACUGCCUAACCUCCCAAUAGCCCUUACUCAUGGUAGAUCCACCCAUUGGUGGAAAUUCGUAAGUAAUAAAGCUUUAAACUAGCUAAGUGAAUAUGAAGUUCAAGGUGGUUCUAAUGGAGAAAGGUCCGUUGGUGGUUAGAUACCACCAAAUCAUGCACCAUCUAGUCUCACCUGGUUCUACUUUACUCCGAUAGGUACACUCUUCUCUUUUGUUUCUUUUGUGUUUAUUAUUAUUAUUAUUGUUGUUGUUGUUGUUGUUGUUUGUUAUUGUUGUUGUUGUUGUUGUUGUUUUUGUUGUUGUUGUUGUUGUUGUUAUUUUUUGGUUUCUUUUUAUCUCUACUUAGUUAAGAAAGGCACACAUGACUAUCUACUAAUUUUAUAUUAGUUGUUAACCACGAUUAGUAGCAGCCACUGCAUGUUAAGAGCAUUUAGACUUCUUAAGCGAUUGUUUGAAUGCAUUUGAUGUUGGUCACAUGAUUAAUUAUCACUAAGCAUGUUUAAUUGUGUUAAUUUCAUGUUUUAGUCAUUAACUUCUUUUAACUUUAGUAUUUGGUCACUGUCGUUUAUUAGCAUGACAAAAUAGUUUCUUAACUUGAUUCUGCGAUUUUGUUCAAUAAUGGACAUGCCUUUUAGGAUUUAGGUAUUUCUAAAUUGGACUUAGGAAGUUUGACUGAUUAAGCAAAAGAUUUGAUAAAAGGGGUAAUGGAUCCAUGCCCAAUCUUAUGUGGUCAGGUAGGUUUAAAAUAAAAAAAAGAGAUAACAAUGAUAGGUAAAGUGAAGAACGUAAAAAGGCAUUCCUCAAAAGAAAGCUAAGAAAUACAAAAUGAAUAAAUUAAUGUUUGGCUUGAUCAUCUACUUGCCAUCCCCACGCCGCCCGUGGUCACAAAUUUGAUUCGAAGUUAGGUUUCCAAUUCAUAUCCUCCAAGUGGAGUGAAAAGUAACGGAGUUGGUAAGCGUCGUGCCACGACAUUAAAUGCGGCGCUUGGUAGGAGGCAACCCAUCGUCUCCAAAAUUUUAAGUCAUUUUUUAAAUUUUCAUUUUUAGAAUAGGUUAGUAUAUUAUUUUUGACUAAUCUGCAGAGUUUUAGAAUUUUCAGAGUUGAUUUGAGAAGUUUGAGGUGUUGGAAGAACAACAAACAGUGGAUUCCCAAUUUUCUAUCUAGACUUUAGUUUAACCGCAUCUUCAGAAAUAUUCUCGCAGGUGCAGAACCACAGAAGCGAGAAAAGUAUAGUAGAAGCGAAACUUACACAGAAGUAGAUUCCUAACCGCAUAAGCGGAGCCGCAGAAAUGUUCAAAUAUCUGUAGAUGCGACUCGUCGGAUAAUUUUAAAGAUCCAAUAUGCCCUUCAGCAGGUCAGAGUCUGAACUCUAUUCUCCCAACCCAAAACCCCUCUCAUAUUUCACACAAGGAAACUAUUACUCGAAUCCUACUGCCUACACACAAGGAAAUCAGGUAAUCAUCUUUUUCCCUUUGUCUCUUAGCUACUCUCUCUUUUUCCCCGAUUUUCUUCUUCUCUCGUUAUCUUAUACUUUUAUGCAUAGCUAUUUCCCACAGCCUCUUUAUCCCAUCUCGAUAAUUGUUAGUGUUCGGGUGAGGAAAAUUGGUUAAGUGUAGUUGUAGAAGUCUGAGUACCCGAUUACUUUAAAGGAUCAAAACUCUCUCGUUUCUUGCUAAGUGUUCGGUGAUUUAUUCGAGAGAAAUUUAUGUGCUAAGUGCCUUGAGAUCAUGUGUAAUCAAGUUGUGUAAUCAUGUAGUGCACAAAUUUAGAAGUCUUGAGUAUAACUUUUGUGCCAAAAACGUGAUUUGAAUUGAAAAGAGUCGACAGUUUCUGGGCCCUUCAAAAUCUAGUGAAAAUCGCUUUUGUGAAGUAAAGGCUGCAUAUGCGUCCUGCACCUAUGAUGAAUUGUUAAGCAAGUGCGAAAUUGGCUGAGAUGUGAAAAACCGAAGAAGCAAGACUUUUACCACAUAUGUGGAACCGAACUUGCGAUGAAAGUUCUGCAGGUGCAAGUUUAUGUUGAGCAGUGAAAAUCAUAGAAGCGGAACCGCACCUGCGAUGCUUCUUCCGCAGGUGCGAUGACUGGCCAAUUUUUGCAAAACUAGUAGCUUUGCAACUAUGGCUUGCUCGGCCCAUUUGGCUCGAUUCUUUGGACUAAUUGAUGUAUUUUGAAUUUCUUAACAUGACUAUAAUGCCCGACUAAUUUUGUUUUGAUUUUUUAGGUACUUUGAACUUAAAAUAUGGACCCAAAGAUGAAUGAAAAUAUGGCACAUGAUCUUGAAAUUGAAGAAGAGGCUGUAGAAGAGCAAUUCGACAAUUAUCGCUUCAUGUCCAUUGAUUGUCACCACUGAUACUAUGACAAUCUUCUUAUAAAGAAGGUCCUACUGGAAAAGGGGAUCUUUGGGGAUAGAUUGGCCGAGCUACUUCCAGAUUUCUAUGACCGUCUAUAGACCACUGGUUGGAAUUGUUUCAUGCCUACUCCGUGUGAUGAAAAUUAGGAAUGGGCUUGUGAGUUUUACACCAACCUUAAGUGUAUAAACUUCAACGACCCACAACUCACCAUAAGGGCAAAAUAGUGUGAUUUGGACUUGAGCAGAUCAAUGAUGUUUUUUGGGCUUCCAAAGCAUCCACUUGAGUCGGUAC
RNAcentral lists this long non-coding RNA (3040 nucleotides) under Nicotiana tabacum (common tobacco). RNAcentral's name for it is "long non-coding RNA (NTAB_LNC000279)". Lineage: Eukaryota; Viridiplantae; Streptophyta; Magnoliopsida; Solanales; Solanaceae. The record is from RNAcentral.